CAAUAGCGUAUAUUAAAGUUGUUGCGGUUAAAAAGCUCGUAGUUGGAUUUCUGCCGAGGACGACCGGUCCGCCCUCUGGGUGAGCAUCUGGCUCGGCCUGGGCAUCUUCUUGGAGAACGUAUCUGCACUUGACUGUGUGGCGCGGUAUUCAGGACUUUUACUUUGAGGAAAUUAGAGUGUUUCAAGCAGGCACACGCCUUGAAUACAUUAGCAUGGAAUAAUAAGAUAGGACCUCGGUUCUAUUUUGUUGGUUUCUAGAUCUGAGGUAAUGAUUAAUAGGGAUAGUUGGGGGCAUUCGUAUUUAACUGUCAGAGGUGAAAUUCUUGGAUUUGUUAAAGACGGACUGCUGCGAAAGCAUUUGCCAAGGAUGUUUUCAUUGA
RNAcentral lists this ribosomal RNA (380 nucleotides) under uncultured eukaryote. RNAcentral's name for it is "partial 18S ribosomal RNA". It matches the Rfam family "Eukaryotic small subunit ribosomal RNA", at positions 592 to 976 of the family's 1831-position model. The record is from RNAcentral.